UUGGAGGGCAAGUCUGGUGCCAGCAGCCGCGGUAAUUCCAGCUCCAAUAGCGUAUAUUAAAGUUGUUGCAGUUAAAAAGCUCGUAGUUGAAUUUCGGGAUCAAAUUGUCGGUCGUGCCUCGGUACGUACUGGCAUUAUUGGUUCCUACCUUCUGAAGAACCGUGAUGUCAUUAAUUUGGUGUCGUGGGGAAUCAGGACUGUUACUUUGAAAAAAUUAGAGUGUUUAAAGCAGGCUUACGCUUGAAUACAUUAGCAUGGAAUAAUGAAAUAGGACGUUUGAUUCUAUUUUGUUGGUUUCUAGGAUUGACGUAAUGAUUAAUAGGGAUAGUUGGGGGCAUUAGUAUUCAAUUGUCAGAGGUGAAAUUCUUGGAUUUAUUGAAGACUAACUACUGCGAAAGCAUUUGCCAAGGAUGUUUUCAUUAAUCAAGAACGAAAGUUAGGGGAUCGAAGACGAUCAGAUACCGUCGUAGUCUUAACCAUAAACUAUGCCGACUAGGGAUCGGAUGAUGUUAAUUUUUUAAUGACUCAUUCGGCGCCUUACGGGAAAC
Molecule: ribosomal RNA, 548 nt
Filed under: uncultured Glomeromycotina
Lineage: Eukaryota; Fungi; Glomeromycota
Description: SSU rRNA
Rfam family: Eukaryotic small subunit ribosomal RNA
Source: RNAcentral